UGGGGAAUAUUGCACAAUGGGCGCAAGCCUGAUGCAGCCAUGCCGCGUGUGUGAAGAAGGCCUUCGGGUUGUAAAGCACUUUCAGCGGGGAGGAAGGCGAUAAGGUUAAUAACCUUGUCGAUUGACGUUACCCGCAGAAGAAGCACCGGCUAACUCCGUGCCCGCAGCCGCGGGAAUACGGAGGGUGCAAGCGGUAAUCGGAAUUACUGGGCGUAAAGCGCACGCAGGCGGUCUGUCAAGUCGGAUGUGAAAUCCCCGGGCUCAACCUGGGAACUGCAUUCGAAACUGGCAGGGUAGAGUCUUGUAGAGGGGGGUAGAAUUCCAGGUGGAGCGGUGAAAUGCGUAGAGAUCUGGAGGAAUACCGGUGGCGAAGGCGGCCCCCUGGACAAAAACUGACGCUCAGGUGCGAAAGCGGGGGGAGCAAACAGG
Molecule: ribosomal RNA, 429 nt
Filed under: Chloroflexota bacterium
Lineage: Bacteria; Bacillati; Chloroflexota
Description: Chloroflexi bacterium partial 16S ribosomal RNA
Rfam family: Bacterial small subunit ribosomal RNA
Source: RNAcentral